RNAcentral lists this long non-coding RNA (3215 nucleotides) under Sus scrofa (pig). RNAcentral describes it as "lncRNA (ENSSSCG00055014814.1)". The record is from RNAcentral. Lineage: Eukaryota; Metazoa; Chordata; Mammalia; Artiodactyla; Suidae.
UUUUUUUUUUUAAAAAAAAAGAAGCUCCCCCAAAUAAAAGGUAAGUUCCUUGGGGGAAAAAAAAGAGCUAUUCCUGUCUGACUCCAUGAUGCCUAGUACCACACAGGUUGUUCAAACCACACAGGUUUCUGGGGAGAAACUCAGAAAGCCCAGCCUCGCCCCACCCAUCAGCAGAAGCAGACAUGCGCUUAGAUUUCUAGUGGGGGGUGAUAAGCCGCCUUACAGCAUUCUCACAAGAAGAACACUGCCUGGGAUUUGGGUCUGUGUCCAUGAACAAAAGGGUCAAACCCAGAAUCACUGCAUGUGAGAGUGGGAAGAAACUUCAGCCAUCACCCAACCCAGGGGUUUUCAGACCAGUUCUACAGAGGUCGAGGGCUGUGUGUGACUGUCAGGAGGCAGGAGGCCCAAAAUCUGCUAAGAAAAGCAAGUGGCAAUGCUGAGUGAGCUAACUCCAAACUCCUGUUUCUACCAGAACAGCCCUCAUUGAAUCCAUUUAAAUAUUGAGGAUGCAAAAACAGCCUAGUUUUUUUUAAAAAAAUUAGAUCACAGAUCCAUCCAAUGCUCUUACUUUAUACUUCUAUGAGGAGAAGGGCUUUCCCAGGAUCCCCAAGGGUGACUGAGAGAGCUAGGUUAGAACUCGGUCCCCUCACCUCCAGGUCAAGAUAUGCUCCACACUCCCACCCGCUUUUCCAGAUGCCUUUGAAUCUCCCACUUCCCAAAGUUUUUAAGGGCCCAUUAUAGUGACUCUCCAAGGUCCAUGAGCCUCCUACCCCAAAUCAUCAUCAAGUGGGAGUAUACUAAAAAUGUUGGAGUUCCUGUCGUGGCUCAUGCUUAGUAGAUGUAAAGUUUAACCCUUACAACAACCCUCUGAGGUGAGUACAAUGACCCUCUUCCUCCAGCAGUAAACUUGUAUCAGGUCAUAAGCUCAGAAGCCACAGGGACAGCAUUCAAACCCAGGCAAGUCUGCCCCAGCCAGAGCUUUCAUCCCUAACCACCCUACCACGCUGCCUCACGUUUUCAUGCUGGUUUACAUCUCAUGUUCAGGCUCAUAACAGCGCCCAAGUAUAAAAAGGGAGGAAGCUUAAAAGAGGACAACAAACCUGCUCCGUUAGGAAACUUGCUGAAGGAACAUACUCAGCGAGUGAUCCUUCUGAGAACCCAGGUCUCCUGGACCAACCCUCCUUGCCCCCACCCCCACCCCUGCCAUGCUCGUAAUUAAGUCUUACAGCCAAUAACAGAAUGUCUCCCAGAGGUGGCAUGGCUGGUACCAGAGAUCCAUAGUUAUGGGCCAUCAGCAGGCACCAGCAAACAUAUUGGACAUGAAAUCAAAGCCAAUAAGCAGGAUCCAGGGAAGAGGAGGUGACAGGUCCCAGGGAGCAAAUGCUGAUGAAUCCAUUCCCUCUGGUGGAAGGCGUGAGGCUGCAGUGCUUAGCCCAGGGCUGUGCUCUCUAAGUAUCCAAUGUGGGAUGGGGUGUGUGUGUGUGUGUGUGUGUGUCUUUCUCCUUUCCAAGGACUGUAUGAUCUGCAAGAGUCAGAAGUGUCCUCUCCUUCUUAGAGGAAAUGAAACUGAGGCUCAGAGAGAGGAGGACAACAGAGUAAAUUAGCACAAAGAACCAAACCCAGGGCUUCCUCCUUUAUUCUCUCUUUACUAGACACGUCCCCUGCAGCACCCAGCAGGCCCCAGCAGGGGAUCAUCACUCCCUGGCCUGGGAAAUCCCAGCCAUCUGGCUUCUGCCCCAGCACGUCCCCAGCCUCUGCAGACAAACAGCCGCAUGCAAGGAGGUUGGGUGCCACCAUCUGCACAGAGCCUUAAUGAGAGGCCUGUGGUUUCUUGGUGUCUUGGUCAAGCUGUUUGCCAGUCCUAGCAAGUGAGAACUUUUGGCCUAACCUAACAUAGGCCUUCGGCCCCUGCACAGUCUAAAUAAAUCACCUUGGACUCCUCUCAUCUGCUCUCUAAUGAAUGGCUUCCUUGGUCAGGGAAACACUUUUUAAAAAUACUGGCAGCAGAAAAAGAAUGGAAUAAAUCCUGUAGGGUUUAUGGGUUUGAAAGGAAAACAGUCCUAUCUUGGUCUGCCCCUAUAUAAAACAAGACUUUUUUUUUCCUUUUUAUGGCCACACCUAUGGUAUAUGGAAAUUCCCAGGCUAGGGACUGAAUCAGAGAUGCAUCUGCCAACCUAUGCCAUGGCCACAGUAUCACCAGAUCCAAUUGCAUCUGCAAUCUAUGCCACAUCUCACGGCAACGCCAGAUCCUUAACCCACUGAGUGAGGCCAGGGAUCAAAUCACCGAACCCAAAACCUCAUGGAUACUAGUAGGGUUCUUAACCUGCUGAGCCAAAACAGAAACUCCUAAAACAAGAUUUUUAGAUGCCCAGUCUCCUGGGGUCCCUUUGCUGAGAAAGCUAGGGAUGGAAACUCCACUCCAAGGGUCUUUGUUGAGAAGUCUGUGGGGAAUAAGGAAGGCAUUGGGAAAAGCAGAGAGGGAAGGUGAUUCUUACAUCAGUGAAAGCCCACUAACAAUUAAUGUCCUUUGUCAAUGGAAUGGGUGGGAUCCACAGGACAAGUCAAGCAGAGGCUGAAUCCGUUGGGGACUCUGUAGCAAAUCCUUUGUGGGUAGAAUUAAGUAGAGGCUUUGAAGGCCCUCCCAAAUCUUAGGUUCUAGUCCCAUGAUUCUUGGAGGGCAGCAAUUCAAACAGGAUAGAUUUUAGAAUCAGAACAAUGCAGUUCAGUCCUGGCUCUGCUCUUUAUAGGCUGGAUGACCUUGGGGGAAGUGUUCCUCAUCUGCAAAUUGUGGUUGACCCCUCCUCUACCUCUUUGGGUUAUCCCUGCGGUUGACAACAGAGGGGUGGGGGCAGGUGCACCCUUCACCCUGUGGGCAUAUAGGUGCUCAGCAAAUGUUAGGUCCCUCCCUCUAAGGGAACACACAAAAUUCCAAGAUUUCCUGAUCCUAAGAUGGCUAACACUUUUAAAAGUCUGAUUCCAAAAGAAACAGGACAAACAAAACAUUGAUAUGGAAACCUCCUUUCCCGUCUCUCAAGAGCACUAAGGAAUCUUCUCCCCAAACUUUGAGAUAAUGCCCAUGUGUUGAUUUUUAUUCCAAACUUGCAAUUUGGCAACCUUCUCUAAGUCUUUUUUUUUUCCCCUCUUUUUCUUCAAGUCACUUAGGCUGAGCUGUUACUUGAGCCAAAAAAAAAAAAAAAAAAAAAAAAAAAAAAAAA